RNAcentral lists this ribosomal RNA (156 nucleotides) under Ochrosporellus hymenonitens. RNAcentral describes it as "Inonotus hymenonitens 5.8S ribosomal RNA". It matches the Rfam family "5.8S ribosomal RNA". From Rfam's summary of the family: 5.8S ribosomal RNA (5.8S rRNA) is a component of the large subunit of the eukaryotic ribosome. The record is from RNAcentral. Lineage: Eukaryota; Fungi; Basidiomycota; Agaricomycetes; Hymenochaetales; Hymenochaetaceae.
UACAACUUUCAACAACGGAUCUCUUGGCUCUCGCAUCGAUGAAGAACGCAGCGAAAUGCGAUAAGUAAUGUGAAUUGCAGAAUUCAGUGAAUCAUCGAAUCUUUGAACGCACCUUGCGCCCCUUGGUAUUCCGGGGGGCAUGCCUGUUUGAGUGUC